UAACAAGAGAGGACUAUUACAUUCCCCAAAAACUGAUCUCUGUCAGAAAGUAUCAAGCUUUGAGCUUGAUGAUUCUCUAGUUCAUUGUGUUCUUCCAAGAUUUGAGAUAGAAGAUGGAGCAGUUCAAAGAGAGGAAGUUCACAGAGAAUGUGGUAAAGGUGUCACUUCUUCUAAAGCUCUUUGUGGUCACAUGGCUUGUCACUUUGAGAGAGAAUAGAGGGUGUCAUGUUCUCAUUUUUUCAGGUCAAGAAGAGUGUAAAGUCAUCAGUCAUCAGUCAUCAGUCAUCAGUCACAGACUUGUGUAGUAAUCACUUGUGCAAUGCUUACGUACUAACUCUUGUAGUCUUGUAGUCUUGCAAACUCUUGUAGUCAUCAGUCACGGACUUGUAAAGCUUUGUGUCUAUAUAAACUUGUGAACUCUUGUAGUGUUGUGAA
Molecule: long non-coding RNA, 435 nt
Organism: Brassica oleracea var. oleracea
Lineage: Eukaryota; Viridiplantae; Streptophyta; Magnoliopsida; Brassicales; Brassicaceae
Exons: 2
Source: RefSeq, a predicted model, not a curated record